Acanthopagrus latus (yellowfin seabream) is the source of this 1905-nucleotide long non-coding RNA. RefSeq lists it as uncharacterized. NCBI's taxonomy places the organism in Eukaryota, Metazoa, Chordata, Actinopteri, Spariformes, Sparidae. The transcript is spliced from 2 exons. The record is from RefSeq and is a predicted model, not a curated record.
CAGUUUACAUUUUUAUAACUAGCUACAAAAAUUUGUUUGUUAAUAAUUUGUGCAAUUUUUGACCAAGCAAAAUUUUGAUUUUUGAGUUUUUGCGAUUUAGCGAAAAAUUUCUCUUGGUGGAAGUUGGCGUGGCCAUUGCAAAGUGAUUCAGCUCCAUUCAGGGAAUCUGGGGAUGCAAGGUUUUUGAAUGUGCGACAUACGGUGUAGAAGUUAUAGGCAAAGUCGAGUUGGCCUAGGUUAUAGCACCCCCUGCAGGCGGAUAUAUGUAGUUUUUUGUGUCUGAGAUAUUUGCAGGAGUCUGGACCAACCCUCCCAAUUGCACCGCCCUCUCAGGUUCCCUGCUUGGGUCCUAACAAUAAUCCUUAGGAAAACAAUAGGGACCUCAGAGGUCUGAGACCUGCUUGGGCCCUAAAAACAGACAAAAACAACAAAACACAAAAUAGCACAGAAACAAACUAACAACACAAACACUGAAUUUCUAAAUAAAUAAAUGAAAAGAAAAAAUGUGGGAGGGGGAUUCAUUAUAUCAGUGAAUGUUAAUGCUUAGUCUUAAUUUACUCCAAUACUUAUUAUUGCUUGCUGGUAAUUACCAAAAUAAAUACUAUAGGGUGACCACUGUUUAACAAAAUCCUCUAGGGUUGCUUGCAGUACAUGAGAUAACCAUUCAUGUGGAAGAAAUGAUAGUAGUUUAUCAUACGAUAUAGAUAUUGUAGGAGGAUGUACAUCAAACCAAACCUGUGGAAUCGAAAGGCGUGCGGCAUCCAACAUGAUAUUUAACAAGGUUACAAGCUGCUCUUAAGCUUGACUUAAACUAAGAUGGGAACGAGUUAAGAGAUGUUGAUUUGCACAAAUCAUAAGAGAAACAAUAAUUGAUAACUACAAUAACUACCUGCUUGAUUUCAUGCAUAUAUCUUGUACUUAAAUUAAACUAAUUUUUUAAAAAGUUUUGUGGAAAUACACUGCUGUUUCGUCCCAAUCCCUUGAGUUCUCCUCACAUUCUUUCACUAUUAAACCUAGUCGUGAGUUUGGCUGUUGAUUUUUAUGACUUGAUUUCACCAAUCGUUUAAGUGAUCUCCAAUUAUGACUUCUUUUGGCCAGGCAGUGCACAGAGGAACUGUAGUUUUUGAUUUUGCAUUUCCAGUAACUAAGGAUAAACAUGCAAGUAUAAUGAUGUUAAGCACAGUAUUGAAGGUAAUAAAGAUGAAAAACAGCAGUUGUCUUUCUCAGGUCAUGUUCAGAUUGCCCAGGUUCCAUGCAGGAAUGAGCCUAACAGUGCUGGAGAGCUCAACUACAGGUAUCUGUUCAACACAUUGGAAAACCAUGGCUACCAGGGAUACAUCGGCUGUGAAUACAAGCCGUUAGGCUCCACAAAGGAAGGUCUGGAUUGGCUCAAAGAUUACUGCACACACAGCAAGUGAUGAGCGAUGUGUUCAUUCAUAAAGCUGUGAACAUAUUUCAAGUGAUUACACCUGGGAGGUGUAACUACAACUUAUCUAAUUCCAUAUUUGUUAUAGUAUAAAAUAAGAAUAACAAGAAGAAUUAGAAGAAGACGAAGAAUCAUAUUUAUACAUUACAUUUCCAAUUUUCCAAUUUAAGUAUGAUGUAGGUACAUUUCAUACUGUAUAAUUUAAUGUAUGAAAAAUGGUUUAAUGGCAGUUGGUUCUUUUAUCAAUUAAGAGAUUACUGACAACUUUCUUAUUGUUUUUUGCAUCUUUAACUGUGAACCGGUUCAUUUUUAAGUGUACUGAUGACUGAUUUUAUUACAUAACCAAUUUACUAUGUACAGAUAAUUUAUUACAGCAAAAAAUACAUUGUGAUAAUUAUACUAAAAUGUCCUCAUCAUUAAUCUUCAUUUGUUAACAUUCUGUCAUUGACCAUAAAAUACAUCUGCAUUUCUCCAAUGUU